GUGCUUGCUGUGACAGUGCAUAUACUAAAAUUGGAAUGAUAUAGAGAUUAGCAUAACUCCUGCAUAAGGAUGAUAUGCAAAUUUAUGAAGCUUCUUAAGUGUAA
This is a small nuclear RNA of Gorilla gorilla gorilla (western lowland gorilla), 104 nucleotides long. Lineage: Eukaryota; Metazoa; Chordata; Mammalia; Primates; Hominidae. The record is from Ensembl.